Triticum aestivum (bread wheat) is the source of this 1493-nucleotide long non-coding RNA. RefSeq lists it as uncharacterized. NCBI's taxonomy places the organism in Eukaryota, Viridiplantae, Streptophyta, Magnoliopsida, Poales, Poaceae. The record is from RefSeq and is a predicted model, not a curated record. The transcript has 3 exons.
GAUUCCCCAUCGCCGCCACCCACCACCUUCCCCUCCCCCCUCCUCUGCUAGUGCCAUGCCCAUCCCAUCCAUCUUCCCCCUCCCCUCCGCCUCCACCUCAACCACUCGACAUUGGCACAUCGCCGCCGCCUGCACCCACCAGCCACCUUGCUCAUGGGCUCGGCCCUCUCCCCCAUCCUUUCCUCACGUUCUCUCCCAAAACAGAUCGAGUAGCCGGUAGCCAGAUCCGCAGCGGCCCUUCCAGUGGCCAUGCCAUGGAGCUCAUCCACUAGGUCCCCUCUUCUCCCCGCUCCUCCCUCCCCUCCUUCUCUCACUGAUUUGAUUUGAUUUGGUUUCGCAGCUGUGAUUCAAUUUUGUCAAGUUGGUGAUGUUGCUGCCUCGAAGGACCUGCCGAAGUGGAGAAGGAGGCCCACCGGCGCCAUGGGCUAACUAGAACCAAGUCAAGACCUCCAAGACACCAUCAACCUCUAGCCCACAUCAGCCGCAACUCCUCCCCUGUAGAGUGAAAAGGUCUUUCUUCUCCUCCCUGCAACAUGCAUCUCUCUUUUGGUGAUGAUAGAUCCCAUAUUCUAGUUACGGUUGUACAAAUUUGUGAUAUUUCUGUUAUUAGAGUGAGUAGAACAAUUGAGGAAAUCUCAUGGUGAUUAUGCAUAUGAAUCCAUCCUUAGAAAGGAUGACAGUAAAUCUAGUCUGAUGAGCUUGAUUCAGCUAGUUACGGGAUGAGCUUCUUGUCUGAUUAUGAGCAUCAUUUUUUGUUCUUACUGUACAAUAGUAGUAUGUUUUUUUACGUGGGUCACACAUCUGUUCUUCUACAGCUCAUACCUAAACCCAACUCUAGCAGCACCACUAGCAGUAGGUCAUGCCCAAUUAUAUCCCAAUUCUAGCACCAACAAUUUCAUAGCGACCAGUGGUUAUGUAUGUAUGUAUAUUUCUUAAAUGCUAACAUGUUCCUAGAUGAAACUCCAUUUCUCUACUCUGAUGUUGAUGUUGCUGAACGGAGACCCUCGACGAUGCACAAAAAAUCAUGCUUUUUUGUGCACUUUGCUUCGACCUGGUUGUGUGAAGAAUGCCAACCAUGGAGAAGCUGUUGCGGGGGUUAAAGGGUCAGGUGAGGACACCUGGAAUGCAGCUCAACAUCACUACCAUAAGUUCAAGUCCCCUGUACCGAAGAGAUCAUCGAUGACGACACAUAGAAAAUCAUGACAAACACCAACAAGUUUGUCAAGGUAUGAUUGGGUAGUGGGCUACAUAGUGCUACCCACCAUAAUCCUCGCCAUGACAUGAUAGUUGCCAUCAGGAGAGUCGACGAAGAACCUGAACAACAGCCUCGAAAGUUUAUAUGUUCUGUUAUUGUAAACUGGAUUGUUGUGCUUCUUAGUGAAUCUAUGUUGUAAAUUAUCAUUACAUGAAGGAUUUGUAAACUGCUAUGUUGUAUAUAUACACAUAAUUUUUUUGAGAAAAUAUAUGCUAUGGAUGGCAACUGUUUGAAAUUA